UACGUAGGCGGCAAGCGUUGUCCGGAAUUAUUGGGCGUAAAGCGCGCGCAGGCGGUCUUCCAAGUCAGUGGUGAAAGCCCGGAGCUCAACUCCGGAACUGCCAUUGAAACUGUAAGACUUGAGGAUGAGAGAGGUGAGCGGAAUUCCCAGUGUAGAGGUGAAAUUCGUAGAUAUUGGGAAGAACACCGGUGGCGAAGGCGGCUCACUGGCUCGUUACUGACGCUCAGGCGCGACAGCGUGGGGAUCAAACAGG
Molecule: ribosomal RNA, 253 nt
Filed under: uncultured bacterium
Lineage: Bacteria
Description: partial 16S ribosomal RNA
Rfam family: Bacterial small subunit ribosomal RNA
Source: RNAcentral